RNAcentral lists this unclassified non-coding RNA (338 nucleotides) under Hevea brasiliensis (rubber tree). The record is from RNAcentral. Lineage: Eukaryota; Viridiplantae; Streptophyta; Magnoliopsida; Malpighiales; Euphorbiaceae.
AAAAAAGGAAAAUUCGAGAACCCAAAUAGAGAAAGUCUUCUUUGUAUCGUCACUCUCUGUUGUUCUUAUCUCACAUCAUCUGUACCUUGCUGAAUCAGAAACUGACAAAAACACAACAACGGAAGAAGGACGAGUGUAUUGCUUUAUUAUCACUCUUUGUUUGUUUGUUCAUGCAGAUUCAUAGAUCUCUAACAAAGAACCCCAAAUCCAAAAAUAGAUAUGUACAAAUUCAAAACCUUAUCCUUAUUCUCGCCCAAAGAAUCAACCAAUCCCAACUAGCUACAAGCUAUCCAUAUCUUGCAUGAAUCAGACAUUAGACAUAUGGGUUUCUUUUGUUU